UCCCUCUCAGGGUCGCAUCUGGAGAGUUUCCAGUUCUCUACUACUCUCGACUAUGAGAGGGAGAGUCAAGCAGAGGGAUUUCCAUUCCUAGCUUGGGCAGUGGCUAGCAAGUGGAAGGCAAUCUGCUACAAGU
This is a non-coding RNA of Ornithorhynchus anatinus (platypus), 133 nucleotides long. The record is from Rfam. Lineage: Eukaryota; Metazoa; Chordata; Mammalia; Monotremata; Ornithorhynchidae.